Non-coding RNA from Vicia faba (fava bean), 333 nucleotides. NCBI's taxonomy places the organism in Eukaryota, Viridiplantae, Streptophyta, Magnoliopsida, Fabales, Fabaceae. The record is from the annotation of a GenBank genome assembly.
AUGGCACCGAAACUUCCGCUCACCCUCUGCAUUUUCGCCAUCUGGGCCAUUCACUUUACCUACGCUGCUUCAUCAUCACACCAUGCUCCAUCAUCCUCUGUUGACUGUUCAACCCUUGUUCUCACCAUGGCUGAUUGUUUAUCAUUUAUUACAAAUGACAGUACCAUAACCAAACCAGAAGGAACAUGCUGUUCUGGGUUGAAAUCUGUCUUGAAAACUGCUCCUUCUUGCCUAUGUGAAGCUUUCAAAAGCAGUGCUCAGUUUGGUGUUGUUUUGAAUGUUUCAAAAGCACUCACUAUCACCAUCCCAACUAUCAUCUCACCGUUACCGUAA